Molecule: long non-coding RNA, 431 nt
Organism: Entelurus aequoreus (snake pipefish)
Lineage: Eukaryota; Metazoa; Chordata; Actinopteri; Syngnathiformes; Syngnathidae
Exons: 3
Source: RefSeq, a predicted model, not a curated record
CUGGACGUUUCGGGACCUUUUUAAAAGUGCUGUGUCAGCAGUUAAUGUGCCCAGUGGUGGUUGCACUAUGAGGGCGCCUGUUUACACCUGUACCACCUCUUUCCUGGGGACACCAAGGCCAAGAUCCUGAAGACAUUUUUAUUGAUCAGCAAGCUUGAAGAUGACAUUAAGGAAACAACUCCUGUCCAUUUUGUUGUACUGCGUCCAACGUGUGGCCUCGCUCUUCUGCCUGAACCCCAAACGCAACAAGAAAAACUGCCUCUCUGGGGGAGCCAGGAAUCUGGUGUCUGUCAUCCAGCAGCUUGCCCAGAGGGUCACUCGGGGGAUGCGGACCACUCUGUGAUGCAUGUAACCCAUGCCGCUGAACAACUACUACUUCACAAAUUGGAGCAAUUUUAUUAUUUAUAUUAUCAUUUGAUGGCAUUAAAUAA